ACCAUCUCAGCUUGCAAGAACCUCAGCAGUACACUCACUGGUAGUGGCAGCUUAGCUGGUAGGGUUUUACAGCUCCGCGUCUUAGUGGGCAGCGCAAACCCACGACAUAUUGAAGAAGAUCGAUUCGCAUCGAUCCUCAUCAGUUAGUAAUAUACGGAGGAAUCGCGUUGGGAUGGCGCUGUUAAGGAGCGUGACGAGAACCCCUCUCGGAAAUGCUCUGUACAGGCGGCUGCUGAGCAGCGUGGUGGUCGAGAGAGGAUUCAGCAGCGGCGGCAAUGUCGGCACCACGGAGCAGAUGAAUUUGAUCAGGCAACUGAGGGACAGAACGAGUGCUCCGAUAAAAGAAGUUAAGUCUGCUCUGGUUGAUUGCCAUUGGGACAUCGAGGCUGCUCAGAGGGAGCUCAGAAAGAGAGGGCAGGUGGUGGCGUCAAAGAAGUCCUUGCGGACAGCGGCGGAGGGUUUGCUGGCUCUUGCGCAGAACGGGGGCAAGGCCGCUGUCAUUGAGCUCAAUUGCGAGACUGACUUUGUCGCUAGAAAUGAAAUCUUUCAGUAUUUGGCCUUAGCUUUGGCAAAGCAAGCUCUAUUGGUGGAGAAUCCUUCUAACCAAGUUUCUGGGAUCUUUCACAUGGGACCUGAGCACUUAGAGGGUUUGAAUUUAAAGCUCGAGCAUCCAAAAAUCAGUGGAGAAACAACAGUUCAGAAUGCAAUUACAGAAGUGGCUGCAAUAAUGGGAGAGAAUGUAAAAUUUAGAAGAGGUUAUGCCAUGUGUGCUUCUUCGCACGGUGUUCUUUCCACAUAUCUUCAUACUAGUCCCCAGCCAGGUUUAGGCCGUAUUGCUGGAAUCCUUUGUCUUGAAGUUGAAGAUGAGAACUCACAACUUGAUGCGCUCCGACGAGUUGGUUCAGAAUUGGCAAUGCAUAUUGUAGCUGCCAAGCCUUUGUUUUUGACUAAGGAACUUGUCACGCCUGAUGCAUUAGAAAGUGAACGGGAAAUCCUGAAGUCUCAGGCAGAAACUUCAGGGAAAUCUCAGAUGGCCAUAGACAAGAUGGUUGAAGGCCGUCUACGCAAAUACAUGGAGGAAGUGGUACUUAUGGAGCAAAAGUUUGUUGUGAACGACAGUAUAAAUGUAAAGACUUUGAUAGGCAAUCUAUCGAAGGAAGUGGGAUCCUCCGUGAAGAUUGGAAACUUUUUCAGAAUGGAAGUUGGAGAAGGAAUUCAGAGGGGUUGAUGGGUUGGGUGGUUGGACCAAAUCUAUCUUUGGUGUUGCACAUGUUCGUGUGCUUAUUGGCGAGGCAAUGGCUUUUCCGUCCUUUUUGUCCCAGGAAUGAAGCAUUGAGUGUACCUGAACCUGUGGCUCAAGCUGUGUAAUAUGAGGGUAUGUUCUCAACGGAAUCUAAUGGAUGCAACACGUCACUGCAAAUUGAAGAUCCUCAAUUAAUUUCUUUCUGUGUGCAACAGGCAUAAUUAUUUGAGAGGCACAGCUUCACUGGAAAAAGUUGUUUUGUGAGCUUUCCUUAUGUUUCAUUUAUUACCAUGAGAUUUCUUAAAAAUGCAGAGGGUAAUAAAGCGGUGUGGUAGAUUCCUCCUAGGUGCUCCAAUUCCAUUUGUUGGGCUCUCUCAAGUGAUUAAACA
Rhodamnia argentea is the source of this 1632-nucleotide RNA transcript. It is a transcript of the gene named elongation factor Ts, mitochondrial, with no coding region annotated. Lineage: Eukaryota; Viridiplantae; Streptophyta; Magnoliopsida; Myrtales; Myrtaceae. The record is from RefSeq and is a predicted model, not a curated record. The transcript is spliced from 9 exons.